Molecule: ribosomal RNA, 253 nt
Filed under: uncultured bacterium
Lineage: Bacteria
Description: partial 16S ribosomal RNA
Rfam family: Bacterial small subunit ribosomal RNA
Source: RNAcentral
UACGGGGGGGGCAAGCGUUGUUCGGAAUUACUGGGCGUAAAGGGUUCGUAGGUGGCCAACUAAGUCAGACGUGAAAUCCCUCAGCUUAACUGGGGAACUGCGUCUGAUACUGGUUGGCUUGAGUGCAGGAGAGGAAUGCGGAAUUCCAGGUGUAGCGGUGAAAUGCGUAGAUAUCGGGAGGAACACCGGUGGCGAAGGCGGUUCUCUGGGCCUGUACUGACGCUGAGGAGCGAAAGCGUGGGGAGCGAACAGG